This is a long non-coding RNA of Antechinus flavipes (yellow-footed antechinus), 727 nucleotides long. RefSeq lists it as uncharacterized. The record is from RefSeq and is a predicted model, not a curated record. NCBI's taxonomy places the organism in Eukaryota, Metazoa, Chordata, Mammalia, Dasyuromorphia, Dasyuridae. The transcript is spliced from 2 exons.
CAGCACCUGAAGGUAGAGGGAACGGGACGAUUGGAUACCUCUUUAAAGAGGUGAUUGAAUUUAGUGUAUGGAUGGGGUCUGUCUCGGUUCAAUCCAGUUUACUGGACAUCACCCCGUGAUGGUAGUAGUCUUUGAAAACAAAGAAGCAGGAAAAGGAAAAGCAGAAGGAGAAGAAGGAGAGAAGGAAAAGAAGAAGGAGAAGAAAAAGAAGGAAGAGGAGAAGGAGGAGGAGAAGAAAAAGGAAAAGGAGAUGAAGAAUUAUAAGAAUGAUGAUGAAGAGCAGAAGCAGCAAAAACAUCCUAUUUCUCUGCUCCCCAAACUCCACCCUCUCGCUAUCCUGGCUGAGCAAUGAACUAUUUUUCAGAAGAUGGGUUACUUCCAGACUUUAUGUCCCCUGCCUCUUUGCCUCUACCACUUGUUUUUCUGGCUUGCUUUAGAUUUCAGCUCCAAUCUCACCUUCUGUAGGAGGCCUUUCUCAGUUUCCCAUAUGCUAAUGCUGCUAUUCUCUGCCCCCACUCCCCCCAUCCUCCCCAGCCCCACCCAUUAUUUUAUUUGAAUUUUGUAUUACUUCCACACCAAAGUGUUUUCUCCUCCAUUAAAAUGGGGUCUCCUUGAAGGCAGGGAGUUUUCAUUUUUUGUUUCUUUUUUCUUUGGCUCUUUAGAGUGUAGGAUGAUAUAUGGCAUGGAGAAAGUGGAUGUUUAAUAAAAGCUUACUGAUUGAUGCAUG